Molecule: long non-coding RNA, 766 nt
Organism: Homalodisca vitripennis (glassy-winged sharpshooter)
Lineage: Eukaryota; Metazoa; Arthropoda; Insecta; Hemiptera; Cicadellidae
Exons: 2
Source: RefSeq, a predicted model, not a curated record
AGUAAUUCUAAACACAACAGUGUUAUGAACUGGGAAGGUUGGCAGGGGGGGGAGUGAGACAGAGACAGACGGCUGGAAUAGAACGAGGCCAUGAGGGUUUCCGCCGCUGGCAUGGACGAGUCUACCUGCUCAUAGGAAAGGGGAGGGAUCUUGACCGCCGCGCCGCGCUGUCCCGUCUCUCGAGUUGUUGAGCCUUGGAGACAUUUUGAAGCGAACUCCUUUUGCUUGGUUGGAAUACUGAAUACUGGUCUGUUAGGAAGCAAGCUUGUUUCAUCUAUGAAAUGUAUUGAACUUGAACAAGGACAACGGACAGGUCCACGUUGCAGUAGAAGGGGAGUAAGCUUGUAAGCUACCGUCAGGGGCGCGGCGUUGCCAGCUGGUGCGGGGCGACCUUUGUUUUAUCCUCCCCACACACCCAGACGUCGCAGUGUUGCCAGAUAUCGUGGCGCCUCGCUUCACGAAACGGCUCACUGCGACUGCAGCGGCCACAUUGUCGUUCUCUUUGUGAGGGGUCUGGCUGGAGUACACUGAAUCGACCUGGUAGCGCAGUGACGACGACCGCUGACUGGUCUUGACUUGUCUUCGACAAAUUAUUAAUCCAUGUCUGUACUUGGCGUAACGAACAACGGCAUGUAACGUAAAAUACAAUUACACUAUAAAAUUUUAUGUCAAUGUUGUAUUUAAAUUCAUUAUUACAUUGUAUGUAUCUCGUAUCAAAGUAAUUAAGAAUUACGUUAUUGUUGAGCAUUUAUACACUUAUAGUGGA